This 695-nucleotide ribosomal RNA is filed under the name uncultured cyanobacterium. Its description in RNAcentral is "bacterial SSU rRNA". It matches the Rfam family "Bacterial small subunit ribosomal RNA", at positions 69 to 804 of the family's 1533-position model. The record is from RNAcentral. Lineage: Bacteria; Bacillati; Cyanobacteriota.
CAACCUUUCGGGGUUGAGUGGCGGACGGGUGAGUAACGCGUGAGAAUCUGCCUUUUGGUCGGGGACAACUACUGGAAACGGUGGCUAAUACCGGAUGUGCCUUUAGGGGUGAAAGAUUAAUUGCCAGAAGAAGAGCUCGCGUCUGAUUAGCUAGUUGGUGAGGUAAAGGCUCACCAAGGCGGCGAUCAGUAGCUGGUCUGAGAGGAUGACCAGCCACACUGGGACUGAGACACGGCCCAGACUCCUACGGGAGGCAGCAGUGGGGAAUUUUCCGCAAUGGGCGAAAGCCUGACGGAGCAAUACCGCGUGAGGGAGGAAGGCUCUUGGGUUGUAAACCUCUUUUAUCAGGGAAGAACCAAAUGACGGUACCUGAAGAAUCAGCAUCGGCUAACUCCGUGCCAGCAGCCGCGGUAAUACGGAGGAUGCAAGCGUUAUCCGGAAUUAUUGGGCGUAAAGCGUCCGCAGGUGGCUCAUCAAGUCUGCUGUCAAAGGCAGGGGCUUAACCCCUGAAAGGCAGUGGAAACUGGAGAGCUAGAGUGCAGUAGGGGUAGAGGGAAUUCCCGGUGUAGCGGUGAAAUGCGUAGAGAUCGGGAAGAACAUCGGUGGCGAAAGCGCUCUGCUGGACUGCAACUGACACUAAAGGACGAAAGCUAGGGGAGCGAAUGGGAUUAGAUACCCCAGUAGUCCUAGCCGUA